RNAcentral lists this ribosomal RNA (2891 nucleotides) under Acinetobacter baumannii NIPH 290. Its description in RNAcentral is "bacterial LSU rRNA". It matches the Rfam family "Bacterial large subunit ribosomal RNA". Lineage: Bacteria; Pseudomonadati; Pseudomonadota; Gammaproteobacteria; Moraxellales; Moraxellaceae. The record is from RNAcentral.
UCAAGUAAUUAAGUGCAUGUGGUGGAUGCCUUGGCAGUCAGAGGCGAUGAAAGACGUGAUAGCCUGCGAAAAGCUCCGGGGAGGCGGCAAAUAUCCUUUGAUCCGGAGAUGUCUGAAUGGGGGAACCCACCUACUUUAAGGUAGGUAUUGCAACAUGAAUACAUAGUGUUGCAAGGCGAACGAGGGGAAGUGAAACAUCUCAGUACCCUUAGGAAAAGAAAUCAAUUGAGAUUCCCUCAGUAGCGGCGAGCGAACGGGGAUCAGCCCAUUAAGUUAUGUGUGUUUUAGUGGAACGCUCUGGGAAGUGCGAACGUAGAGGGUGAUAUUCCCGUACACGAAAGGGCACACAUAAUGAUGACGAGUAGGGCGAGGCACGUGAAACCUUGUCUGAAUAUGGGGGGACCAUCCUCCAAGGCUAAAUACUCCUGACUGACCGAUAGUGAACCAGUACCGUGAGGGAAAGGCGAAAAGAACCCCUGUGAGGGGAGUGAAAUAGAUCCUGAAACCGCAUGCAUACAAGCAGUGGGAGCACCUUCGUGGUGUGACUGCGUACCUUUUGUAUAAUGGGUCAGCGACUUAUAUUCAGUAGCGAGGUUAACCGUAUAGGGGAGCCGUAGAGAAAUCGAGUCUUAAUAGGGCGUUUAGUUGCUGGGUAUAGACCCGAAACCAGGCGAUCUAUCCAUGAGCAGGUUGAAGGUUGGGUAACACUAACUGGAGGACCGAACCCACUGUCGUUGAAAAGCCAGGGGAUGACUUGUGGAUAGGGGUGAAAGGCUAAUCAAGCCUGGUGAUAGCUGGUUCUCCCCGAAAGCUAUUUAGGUAGCGCCUCGGACGAAUACCAUAGGGGGUAGAGCACUGUUUCGGCUAGGGGGUCAUCCCGACUUACCAAACCGAUGCAAACUCCGAAUACCUAUGAGUACUAUCCGGGAGACAGACUGCGGGUGCUAACGUCCGUAGUCAAGAGGAAAACAAUCCAGACCGCCAGCUAAGGCCCCAAAAUCAUAGUUAAGUGGGAAACGAUGUGGGAAGGCAUAGACAGCUAGGAGGUUGGCUUAGAAUCAGCCACCCUUUAAAGAAAGCGUAAUAGCUCACUAGUCGAGUCGGCCUGCGCGGAAGAUGUAACGGGGCUAAAACUAUGUGCCGAAGCUGCGGAUGUAUACUUUGUAUACGUGGUAGGGGAGCGUUCUGUAAGCCGAUGAAGGUGUGUUGAGAAGCAUGCUGGAGGUAUCAGAAGUGCGAAUGCUGACGUGAGUAACGACAAAACGGGUGAAAAACCCGUUCGCCGAAAGACCAAGGGUUCCAGUCCAACGUUAAUCGGGGCUGGGUGAGUCGACCCCUAAGGCGAGGCCGAAAGGCGUAGUCGAUGGGAAAAUGGUUAAUAUUCCAUUACUUCUGUGUAAUGCGAUGAGAGGACGGAGAAGGCUAAAUCAGCCUGGCGUUGGUUGUCCAGGUGAAAGGAUGUAGGCAUGUAUCUUAGGCAAAUCCGGGGUACUCUAUGCUGAGAUCUGAUAGCAAGCUGUACUUGUACAGCGAAGUGGUUGAUGCCAUGCUUCCAGGAAAAGUCUCUAAGCUUCAGUUACACAGGAAUCGUACCCGAAACCGACACAGGUGGUCAGGUCGAGUAGACCAAGGCGCUUGAGAGAACUCUGCUGAAGGAACUAGGCAAAAUGGUACCGUAACUUCGGGAGAAGGUACGCUGUUGUUGGUGAUGGAACUCGCUUCCUGAGCUGACGACAGCCGCAGAAACCAGGCCGCUGCAACUGUUUAUUAAAAACAUAGCACUCUGCAAACACGAAAGUGGACGUAUAGGGUGUGAUGCCUGCCCGGUGCUGGAAGGUUAAUUGAUGGGGUUAGCGUAAGCGAAGCUCUUGAUCGAAGCCCCAGUAAACGGCGGCCGUAACUAUAACGGUCCUAAGGUAGCGAAAUUCCUUGUCGGGUAAGUUCCGACCUGCACGAAUGGCAUAAUGAUGGCGGCGCUGUCUCCAGCAGAGGCUCAGUGAAAUCGAAAUCGCUGUGAAGAUGCAGUGUACCCGCGGCUAGACGGAAAGACCCCGUGAACCUUUACUGCAGCUUGACACUGAACUUUGACCUUACUUGUGUAGGAUAGGUGGGAGGCUUUGAAGCUGGAACGCUAGUUCCAGUGGAGCCGUCCUUGAAAUACCACCCUGGUAAUGUUGAGGUUCUAACUCUGUCCCGUGAUCCGGGACGAGGACCGUGUCUGGUGGGUAGUUUGACUGGGGCGGUCUCCUCCUAAAGAGUAACGGAGGAGUACGAAGGUGCGCUCAGCGUGGUCGGAAAUCACGCGUAGAGUAUAAAGGCAAAAGCGCGCUUAACUGCGAGACCCACAAGUCGAGCAGGUACGAAAGUAGGUCUUAGUGAUCCGGUGGUUCUGUAUGGAAGGGCCAUCGCUCAACGGAUAAAAGGUACUCUGGGGAUAACAGGCUGAUACCGCCCAAGAGUUCAUAUCGACGGCGGUGUUUGGCACCUCGAUGUCGGCUCAUCUCAUCCUGGGGCUGAAGCAGGUCCCAAGGGUAUGGCUGUUCGCCAUUUAAAGAGGUACGCGAGCUGGGUUUAGAACGUCGUGAGACAGUUCGGUCCCUAUCUACCGUGGGCGCUGGAAAUUUGAGAGGAUCUGCUCCUAGUACGAGAGGACCAGAGUGGACGAACCUCUGGUGUACCGGUUGUGACGCCAGUCGCAUCGCCGGGUAGCUAUGUUCGGAAGGGAUAACCGCUGAAAGCAUCUAAGCGGGAAGCCUACCUCAAGAUAAGAUUUCCCUAGGACUUUAUGUCCUCUAAAGAGCCGUUCGAGACUAGGACGUUGAUAGGUUGGAUGUGGAAGCAUAGUGAUAUGUGAAGCUGACCAAUACUAAUUGCUCGUGAGGCUUGACUAU